UAGUGAGGGUGAAGGAGCUGGGGCACAGGUGGUGUUCUCAUUAAUCCUUCUAAUCAAGGGCAGGGGCAGAGACAGAGACAGACAUCCUGGAAGUGAAUGCAUGGCUGCAUGGAGUUUGAGUGGGAGUUCCAUUGGAGGAGAAGGUACCUGUAUUUGCAUCUGUCUUUGUAUUGCUUGUAUGUGUAGAGGCCUGUAGGGGCAGCGUGCUGGGCGGGCAGCUGAGCCCUGAUUAGGGGGCGGAGCUUGGCUGAGGAGAGGGCCUAUAAAAGCAGCCACCCAGCCAGGCAGCGGCACAGCUGCGAGCAGCCAACAGGGCUGCUAACAGGGGAGUUUACAGGGGGAGGUGAAAGGAGAGGCAGGAGGGCGUGGCGCCCUGUGUGCUGUGUUUCCCCAGGUGCAGAGGGCACAGCUGAGUAGGCGGGGUUCAGACAACAGCAGCCAUGAGCCAAGCAGCAGGGGACACAAUGCAGAUGAUCUCAACAGGCAGCUGCGGUAUGUACAUGGUCCUAGCAGCAGUGCACGAACAGAGGCCAAGGGAAAGGAAGCAAGCAACGGUAAGCUGCGUGGAUCGAAGCACUUCGUCAACCGUUGAGGCUUUGAGGAGACAAUCAUCGAGAUCCUGUUCCAGGCCUUCCAGGAGUUCAUCAUAAACUUCAUUGAAGACUAGUCUUUUCAUCUUUGCAACCCAAAAAAUGGCAACCAUCUAUCUGUGAUCAUGUCAAAAACAACUGAAAAGCAAAUUCAUUAACUUGGUAAGAAAGGUAAAUAUCACUAUCAAUACAACACAAUUGAAUAAUUUAAAUAAUUGACUGAAGAACUUGGUCUUUGAUAUUCUCCUCCAGAGAGAGAGAGAGAGAGAGAGAAAGAAAGAAAGAAACCUCACAGGUCCACUGCUAAACGCUUCAAGUAAAGAAAGAAGAAAAUUUAGAAGAACUACAAGAUCAGACAUCAAUGCAAGAUGGCUGGUCAAACAUGAGGAAAGACCAGCAAGUGGUGGUCAAAACAUAGCAAACACGCAUGAAGAGACUAUUCAGAAAGGCAGCAAAUUUACAAAGGAAGGAGGUGGUUUCAGAGAAACUUGACAGAUUAGAGACUGAUGAUACUGUUACAGUGGAAAUCUGGCUAAUAUACUUAAAUAAACUAAACAAGAAGAUGAUGCAGUCUCACCUCUCUAGACUGUUUUGUCCAGGGUUUUAAGUCCCUGAAGAUCUGGCAAGGUCUCCAAUGUGACCCUCAAAAAGGCACUUUAGCCAUCUGGAAUUAGGCUAACUCACAGGCAUAGAUCUUUUGCAGCAGGCACAGAGCUUAAAGCCCAGAGACUGAGGAACACCCUGAUAACAGGUGUUGACCCCUUGUAACAAAAACUCCAACACCCAAAGUUGCUAUAGAAGAUGAAGAAAACCUAUACUUAACUUACACUAACAAGUACUACUAAUUAACUAUUUACAGAACAGAGAAACUCCCUGGAGUGGGAGAAAACUUGCAAUAGCAAGCCAACACACUCCAACUACCUAUUGCAGGUGGUAAGAAGGAACCGAAGUGGGUGAGGGAUGUACCUGCCCCUUAUGCUAUCAGGCAGCAGCACAGAAAUGCUAGGGGUGCAUGCAUUACCCAGACAGGUACUGCUAGGGAAAAACAUCUGGCUCUGGUGCUCUGGGCAUGCACAUUCCAAAAGAGAAAUGGACGUGUGCAAUCAUUCAAAGAACAUCUUAUUGCAUUUUUGUUGCCAGUCCACAAGAUUGUCCAACUAGCAAGAGAGGUAGCAGAAAGGAACGAAUCUCAAAACAUCAGUGGUAGCAAGCUAUGAACACAUGUAAUUUGGCAGAAAAAACAUUGUAUAAGCCUACAUCACAACAUCCAUGGAAGACGUUAAGAGCUUACUGCUUCUCUGCUACAGAAAUGCCAAUAGUUCAGAAAUGGGGGAAAUAGAAUUUGAAUAGAUUACAAAAAACAGAUUAUGUUAACCUUGAUUUAAAGUUAAUUGUAUUAAAGUCACUUAAAAAAAUCAUUGAUUUAAGUCAAUUUUUUACAAAAAUUCACCUAAUUUGAAAUUGUGCUAUUUUCUAUUACAAUUUAGAAUGAACUACAUUAUAAAUGCUAUUGGACAAUGACUUCUUACUCUACCAGUAGUGACAGUGAAUCUAUAUAUUUUACAGAACUACUGUAGGCAAAAGAACAAAAUACUAAAGUUAUUAAAACUAUUUCAUUUAUAACUAAUAAAUCUCAAGUGGCAUCAAACCUCGAUCAAUACAAGCCAAGUCUACUACAAGGUUCACACUGAAAAAUUGUUUAGAGUUUGGAACUAAGUUGAAAGUUGUGAAAAAAAAUUAUUUCACAUUUACACAAGCUCUGUUAUUGAAAUAACCACAUUAAAUUAAAAAUGCAACGUUUAAGAGAACUAAAAUCCAUGAUCAAGAAUAGCUAGACAGUAACAAUGCAUUUCCAUUAUUCAGACUUAAGGUGCUUUCAAAAUUAAAAUUCUUGAAAAGGAAACUGAAACCUUAUCUGUUUUAUGCAGUUUCUAGCAUGUAGUACAACAGCUACAUGAUGAAAAUAGUCAUUACAACUCCAACAGAAGACAUAGCAGUUACAAUCUGAGAUACUACUUUUAUGAUCAAAUCUGUUUUCUCAAGUUUGAGAUUCUCCCUAUUGAAGUGGUGUUGCAUUUCUCUGUACUGAAGAAUGUAGCUUUCUGAAAUGAAAAAGUUGAUUUACAGUGGAGUUUUUCUUGGCAGAAAACUACUUCUAGCCUAAGCAUAUUCUGCAUAUUCAUAAGCAAAUUUUGAAUUCUAGGUUUAAAAGUAAAAAUGGGCACACAAGGUUUAAUUAUAUGUAGUAGAAAACAACAGUAUUAAAAGUAGGCCACAACACUUUCGGAACACAUUCGGUCAUUACAUAAUUGUGGCUCAGAAAAAAAAAUUCAAGCUUCUUUCACACCUCAACAGCUUCAGCAACUGAACAUGAAACACUAUGUAUAGAAGUAGCAUUGCUCCUGGUUUCAAUACCUGGAGCAAUUCAGCACACCUCUCUAAACAAAUUUGUUAACUUUUGGCAGUCAGUAUCCUGUCAUUACAGAUUUUCCAUUAAUUUGGGCCACUUUGAAAAGUAAGUUCCUAGGUGGGGUUUGCAAAAAAGUAUUAAGGCACAACACAUACAUGGCCUUUUGGGGGUUUUUUUUUUGCUUGUGUCUGGCAGCUCCAAAGUGAUUAUUGCUAAAGAAUUUAAUCAUACAUAGAUAAAAUGAGCUCUGAUACUCUUUCCUUCCAAAUCUUCUGACAGUAAGUUUAGGGUGUUAGAAAAACAACUAUGUGAAACUACACUAAUACACAGGGGCAUAAGUU
Molecule: non-coding RNA, 3341 nt
Organism: Chrysemys picta bellii (western painted turtle)
Lineage: Eukaryota; Metazoa; Chordata; Testudines; Emydidae
Source: RefSeq, a predicted model, not a curated record